Molecule: ribosomal RNA, 516 nt
Filed under: Triticum aestivum (bread wheat)
Lineage: Eukaryota; Viridiplantae; Streptophyta; Magnoliopsida; Poales; Poaceae
Description: partial small subunit ribosomal RNA
Source: RNAcentral
AUGAAGCUGCUCAUUCAGGCAUCGACACUCAUAGUUGUGAUUCAAGCCUGGGUCAUGUUGGUACACAAGAGAGUGGUUCGUCGCAACUCCAAACCUAUGAUCAUAUAUGACCCAAUGUUAGCCCGAGAUAUGGAGAGGAUGGCGAAUCUAAACUACAUCUACAACUGUAAUGAUGUAGAGCCUGUGAACAUGCUUCGAAUGAGAAGAACCCCCUUUUCCAAGAUUGUGGACAAGUUUAGAGAGAUGAGGUUGCUAGACGAUAGCAUCAACACCUCCGUGGAAGAGCAAGUAGCAAGGUUCCUUCAUGUUGUAGAUCAUAAUCAGAGAUUCAGAGUGAUCAACAAUACAUUAAAUAGAACUCGUGUGACAAUUUCCUGGCAUUUCAAGCAAGUCUUGUAUGAGAUUGAAGAUCUUAGAGGAGAGAUGAUUAAAACACCUACUAGUCAAACUCCUGUGAAGAUAAGCCCGAGCUAUAGAUGGUAUCCAUAUUUUAAGGUUCACAGUAUUACCUGUUAG